Molecule: ribosomal RNA, 198 nt
Filed under: uncultured bacterium
Lineage: Bacteria
Description: partial 16S ribosomal RNA
Rfam family: Bacterial small subunit ribosomal RNA
Source: RNAcentral
ACGCUCGACACCUACGGGAGGCAGCAGUGGGGAAUAUUGCACAAUGGGGGAAACCCUGAUGCAGCGACGCCGCGUGAAGGAAGAAGUAUCUCGGUAUGUAAACUUCUAUCAGCAGGGAAGAAAAUGACGGUAUCUGACUAAGAAGCCCCGGCUAACUACGUGUCAGCAGCCGCGGUAAUCUGAGCGGGCUGGCAAGGC